This 457-nucleotide ribosomal RNA is filed under the name uncultured bacterium. RNAcentral describes it as "bacterial SSU rRNA". It matches the Rfam family "Bacterial small subunit ribosomal RNA", at positions 338 to 795 of the family's 1533-position model. The record is from RNAcentral.
CCUACGGGAUGCAGCAGUAAGGAAUAUUGCGCAAUGGGCGAAAGCCUGACGCAGCGACGCCGCGUGGGGGAUGAAGGUCUUCGGAUUGUAAACCCCUUUCGGGAGGGAAGAUGGGAUGGGGUAACCCAUUCGGACGGUACCUCCAGAAGCAGCCACGGCUAACUUCGUGCCAGCAGCCGCGGUAAUACGAAGGUGGCAAGCGCUGUUCGGAUUUACUGGGCGUACAGGGAGCGUAGGCGGUUGGAUAAGCCCUCCGUGAAAUCUCCAGGCUUAACCUGGAAAGUGCAGAGGGGACUGUUCAGCUAGAGGAUGGGAGGGGAGCGCGGAAUUCCCGGUGUAGCGGUGAAAUGCGUAGAGAUCGGGAGGAAGGCCGGUGGCGAAGGCGGCGCUCUGGAACAUUUCUGACGCUGAGGCUCGAAAGCGUGGGGAGCAAACAGGAUUAGAUACCCUCGUAGUC